This 497-nucleotide ribosomal RNA is filed under the name uncultured bacterium. Its description in RNAcentral is "partial 16S ribosomal RNA". It matches the Rfam family "Bacterial small subunit ribosomal RNA", at positions 28 to 507 of the family's 1533-position model. The record is from RNAcentral.
GAUGAACGCUGGCGGCGUGCCUAAUACAUGCAAGUCGAGCGAACAGACGAGGAGCUUGCUCCUCUGACGUUAGCGGCGGACGGGUGAGUAACACGUGGAUAACCUGCCUAUAAGACUGGGAUAACUUCGGGAAACCGGAGCUAAUACCGGAUAAUAUAUUGAACCGCAUGGUUCAAUAGUGAAAGACGGUUUUGCUGUCACUUAUAGAUGGAUCCGCGCCGCAUUAGCUAGUUGGUAAGGUAACGGCUUACCAAGGCGACGAUGCGUAGCCGACCUGAGAGGGGGAUCGGCCACACUGGAACUGAGACACGGUCCAGACUCCUACGGGAGGCAGCAGUAGGGAAUCUUCCGCAAUGGGCGAAAGCCUGACGGAGCAACGCCGCGUGAGUGAUGAAGGUCUUCGGAUCGUAAAACUCUGUUAUUAGGGAAGAACAAAUGUGUAAGUAACUAUGCACGUCUUGACGGUACCUAAUCAGAAAGCCACGGCUAACUACGUG